GACAGAGGGGGCAAGCGUUGCUCGGAAUUACUGGGCGUAAAGGGCGCGUAGGCGGGAUGGCAAGUCGGUCGUGAAAUCCCUCGGCUCAACUGAGGAGCGUCGAUCGAAACUGCCGUUCUUGAGGGUUGCAGAGGAGACUGGAAUUCCCGGUGUAGCGGUGAAAUGUGUAGAGAUCGGGAGGAACACCGGUGGCGAAGGCGGGUCUCUGGGCAACUCCUGACGCUGAGGCGCGAAAGCGUGGGGAGCGAACAGG
Molecule: ribosomal RNA, 253 nt
Filed under: uncultured bacterium
Lineage: Bacteria
Description: partial 16S ribosomal RNA
Rfam family: Bacterial small subunit ribosomal RNA
Source: RNAcentral